RNAcentral lists this long non-coding RNA (1080 nucleotides) under Homo sapiens (human). RNAcentral describes it as "HSALNT0373965". The record is from RNAcentral. Lineage: Eukaryota; Metazoa; Chordata; Mammalia; Primates; Hominidae.
GGCUAGAAUGCUUCCCCUCCCAUUGUGGCUGAGCUGAAAGACAAACAUCUAGAACGAAAGAACCAGGCAGAAGCUAAACACACGCCUUUCUAACCUAGUUUCACCAGUAAUACAAUGUCACUUCUACUGUAUUCACAGGACCAUCCAGAUUCAAGAAGAGGAAACGCAGAUGCCAUCUGUGAUGGUUAGCAUUAUGUGUCAACUUGAUUGGAUUGAAGGAUGCUUAAAUAGCUGGUAAAGUAUUGUUUCUGUGUGUGUCUAUGAGGGCGUUGCCAGAGGAGAUUGACAUUUGAGUCCGUGGACUGGGAGAGGAAGACACACCCUCAGUAUGGGUGGGCACCAUCCAAUCGGCUGCCAGACCAGCUAAAACAAAGCAGAUGGAAGAAGGUGGGAUAAGCCGGCUUGCUGAGUUUUCUGGCUUCCAUCUUUCUCCCCUGCUGGAUGUUUCUUGCCCUUGGACAUCAGACUCCAGAUUCUUCGGCCUUUGGACUCUUGGACUCACUCUAGUGGUUUGCCUGGGACUCUCAGGCCUUCGGCUACAGAUUGAAGGCUACGCUGUCGACUUCUUUACUUUUGAGGCUCUUGGACUUGGAAUGAGCCACUGCUGGCUUCCUACCUCCUCAGCUUGCAGAUGGCUUAUCAUGGGACUUCACCUUGUGAUCGUGUGAGUUAAUUCUUAAUAAACUCCCUUUCAUAUAUACACCUACCCUAUUAGUUCUGUCCCUCUGCAGAACCCUAAUACACCAUCCUUUAAUAGAAGAAUAUCAAUAUCCUAUUAUAAAAAGAAUACAAGAAUACAAAAUAAUAUAUAUUCCAAAUUGUUGUAUUCUUUAUAUACAUCACACAUAUAUAUCACACAUAUAUGUAUGUGUGUGUAUGUAUUGCACCAUUUUAGACAAAUACAAUCUGUUACCCACACUCACUGAAGUGGCUUAAAAAAAAUAGCUCCAGAACAGAGAUGAAACAGCCUUGCAUUGGCAAGAGGAUAGUUUUUCUGUUAAGGAGGGGCUAGGCCAGGAAUUCAGCUGACUGUGAGCCAAUUUAAAGAGAACAAGGAGAACCAAGAAAGCUAUGCAAGCC